Molecule: ribosomal RNA, 468 nt
Filed under: uncultured bacterium
Lineage: Bacteria
Description: partial 16S ribosomal RNA
Rfam family: Bacterial small subunit ribosomal RNA
Source: RNAcentral
GACGAACGCUGGCGGCGUGCUUAACACAUGCAAGUCGAACGGAAAGGCCCUGCUUUUGUGGGGUGCUCGAGUGGCGAACGGGUGAGUAACACGUGAGUAACCUGCCCUUGACUUUGGGAUAACUUCAGGAAACUGGGGCUAAUACCGGAUAGGAGCUCCUGCUGCAUGGUGGGGGUUGGAAAGUUUCGGCGGUUGGGGAUGGACUCGCGGCUUAUCAGCUUGUUGGUGGGGUAGUGGCUUACCAAGGCAUUGACGGGUAGCCGGCCUGAGAGGGUGACCGGCCACAUUGGGACUGAGAGACGGCCCAGACUCCUACGGGAGGCAGCAGUGGGGAAUAUUGCACAAUGGGCGGAAGCCUGAUGCAGCAACGCCGCGUGCGGGAUGACGGCCUUCGGGUUGUAAACCGCUUUCGCCUGUGACGAAGCGUGAGUGACGGUAAUGGGUAAAGAAGCACCGGCUAACUACGUG